Long non-coding RNA from Salarias fasciatus (jewelled blenny), 1589 nucleotides. NCBI's taxonomy places the organism in Eukaryota, Metazoa, Chordata, Actinopteri, Blenniiformes, Blenniidae. The record is from Ensembl.
GUGUGGAGACCGGCCGUGACCUUUGACCUCUCCCAGGCUGCAGGCGGAGCAUCAGCAGUGUCAGUCUGACCUGAGCGCCGCUGUGGAAACCCUUAGGAGGAUGACCUCUGACCUGGAGGCCGAGGCCAGAGGACACGCCCACACCCAGACACUGCUGCAGCAGGCUGUCCAGGCUCAGCAGGAGACUCAGGACGUCUUCCUGAACGUCCUCACUCAGAUCUCAGAGGCUCUGCAGCCUGACGGCCCCGCCGGAGCCGCAAGGCAUGAUGGGAAACCUGCAGCCGCCGAGGUGACCGCGCAGCUGAGGACCACCCUGAAGACAUACCGGGAGGAGGUGGAGAGGCUCCAGGAGGAGAACCUUAGUCUGACACAGCUCAGCUCGCAGCUGAGGAGCCAGCUCCUGGAGGUGCAGCAGGAGGCUGUGACGCUGCAGGAGGAAGCAGCUCGACUCCGCCAGGAGGCCUCUGAUUGGUCGACUCAAACCAGGGAGCUGCAGGAGGAGAAGGAGGAGAGAGAGAGGGAGAGGGAGGAGAGGGAGGAGAGUGAGAGGAAGGAGAGAGAGAGGGAGAGGAAGGAGAGAGAGAGGGAGAGGGAGGAGAAAGAGAAGAAGGAGAGAGAGAGGGAGAGGGAGGAGAGAGAGAGGGAGGAGAGAGACAAACAGGAGAGGGAGAAAAGGGUGAAGGAGCAGAGGGAGGAGGAGGAGAUGGUAAUUAUUAAGUUUUUUCUGUUCGUCCAGCAGAGGGUGCCACUGAUUAAAUACUGAUGUGUGUGUGUGUGUGUGUGUGUGUGUGUGUUGCAGGCCCGCCUCUCCUCCCUCUACUCCCUCUAUCAGCGCCUGCUGGCCGGCUGUGUCCUGCUCCCCGCGCCCCAGAGCAUGCUGGGUAACUUCACCUGGCAGGAGCUCUGUGACGUCAUGAGCGAGCAGGUGGAGCAGCUGACCUCUGACCUCCGGGCAGCCAAGGAGGAGGUGGCUGCACACACACACACACACACACACACACACACACACACACACACACACACACGCACACACACACAGAGGAGGCCACUUUUCUGUGUUUUGCUCCUGACCGUGUGUGUGUGUGUGUGUGUGUGUGUGUGUGUGUGUGCAGGUGGCCCGCCUGCAGUGUGUGUGUGAGAGGAAGGCGGUGUGUGUCCGGGAGCUGCAGCGCCGCCACAGGUGUGUGUUGUCCCGUCUGGAGGUGAGUGUGAGGAAGAGGGAGGAGGCGUGGAGGCAGCGGUACACACACACUCUGAGCCAGCUGGAGGUAUCACACACACACACACACACACACACACACACACACACAGGAGGAGCGGCGGGAUCGAACACUGACCCUCCUCGUGGUGCUGACUGUUGCAGCGGUGCCGCUCCCAGUGUGACCUCCUGACCUCUGACCUCUGUGAGAGCCGCGGCCGGGCGGCGUCCUUCCGGGUGGCAUGCCUCCUGCUGGGCGGGGCUCUAGGCCACGCCCACUGCCGGCGCCGCUGGCUCUGCCAGCAGAAAGCCCUGCUGAGCCGGCGCCUGGAGGCGCGGGAGCAGCUGGAGAGGGAGGUGCGGAGGCUGGCCUCCGCCCUGGGGGGAGGGG